AUUGAACGCUGGCGGCAGGCUUAACACAUGCAAGUCGAGCGGGCGAGGUUGCUUCGGUAACUGAGCUAGCGGCGGACGGGUGAGUAAAGCUUAGGAAUCUGCCUAUUAGUGGGGGACAACAUUCCGAAAGGGAUGCUAAUACCGCAUACGUCCUACGGGAGAAAGCAGGGGAUCACUUGUGACCUUGCGCUAAUAGAUGAGCCUAAGUCGGAUUAGCGAGUUGGUGGGGUAAAGGCCUACCAAGGGGAAGAUCUGUAGCGGGUCUGAGAGGAUGAUCCGCCACAGUGGGAAUGAGACACGGCCCAGACUCCUACGGGAGGCAGCAGUGGGGAAUAUUGGACAAUGGGGGGAACCCUGAUCCAGCCAUGCCGCGUGUGUGAAGAAGGCCUUUUGGUUGUAAAGCACUUUAAGCGAGGAGGAGGCUUACCUGGUUAAUACCUGGGAUAAGUGGACGUUACUCGCAGAAUAAGCACCGGCUAACUCUGUGCCAGCCGCCGCCGUAA
RNAcentral lists this ribosomal RNA (503 nucleotides) under uncultured bacterium. Its description in RNAcentral is "partial 16S ribosomal RNA". It matches the Rfam family "Bacterial small subunit ribosomal RNA", at positions 30 to 523 of the family's 1533-position model. The record is from RNAcentral.